CCUACGGGAGGCAGCAGUGAGGAAUAUUGGUCAAUGGGCGCGAGCCUGAACCAGCCAAGUCGCGUGAGGGAAGACGGCCCUACGGGUUGUAAACCUCUUUUGCCGGGGAGCAACGGGCGCCACGUGUGGCGCCCCUGAGAGUACCCGAAGAAAAAGCAUCGGCUAACUCCGUGCCAGCAGCCGCGGUAAUACGGAGGCUGCGAGCGUUAUCCGGAUUUAUUGGGUUUAAAGGGUGCGUAGGCGGCGGGUUAAGUCAGUGGUAAAAUUUAGGGGCUCAACCCCGUCCCGCCGUUGAAACUGGAGGUCUUGAGUGGAAGAGAAGUAGGCGGAAUGCGUGGUGUAGCGGUGAAAUGCAUAGAUAUCACGCAGAACCCCGAUUGCGAAGGCAGCAUGCCGGCUUCCGACUGACGCUGAAGCACGAAAGCGUGGGGAUCGAACAGGAUUAGAUACCCUUGUAGUC
This 460-nucleotide ribosomal RNA is filed under the name uncultured bacterium. RNAcentral's name for it is "partial 16S ribosomal RNA". It matches the Rfam family "Bacterial small subunit ribosomal RNA", at positions 338 to 795 of the family's 1533-position model. The record is from RNAcentral.